CCAGGUGAGCCCAUCCAGGUGUGCACAGGGAUCCAGGUGUGCCCAUCCAGGUGAGCCCAUCCAGGUGUGCACAGGGAUCCAGGUGUGCCCAUCCAGGUGUGCCCAUCCAGGUGUGCACAGGGAUCCAGGUGUGCCCAUCCAGGUGUGCCCAUCCAGGUGUGCACAGGGAUCCAGGUGAGCCCAUCCAGGUGUGCACAGGGAUCGAGGUGUGCCCAGGGACCCAGGUGAGCCCAUCCAGGUGUGCACAGGGAUCCAGGUGUGCCCAUCCAGGUGAGCCCAGCCCGGCCGUGCCGCAGCCCCCGCGCUGCCCCGGGGGUUUUUUUUGGGGGGGGUUGGGGGGGUCCCCGGGGUGGGUGGGGGAGGGGAGACUCACAGGCUCGGGGGGGCCCCGCGGUCCGGGGGGGCUCGGCCGGGCCCUGCGGGAGGAGGAGGAGGAGAGAGAAGCGUUAGGGGCCCCCCGCCCCCCGCUCCGGACACCUGUGGGAAGAAGCCGCGGCCCUGCCCGGCCCCGCCCCCACCUGCGCAGGCCCCGCCCCCACCUGCCCGCAGGCCCCGCCCCCGGCCCCGCCCCCGCCCCGCCCCCCCUCCGCGCGGACGGACGGACGGACACGGGGGCGACGCCCUGGCUGCGCCCGCGAGUGAGCCCGGGGAGCCCGGGAGUGACCCUUGGGUGACCCCGGAGUGACCCUGAGCUGACCCCGAGUGACCUUGGCUGGCCCUGACCGCGACUGACCGCGACUGACCCCCCACAACUGCCCCCGACUGCCC
RNAcentral lists this long non-coding RNA (768 nucleotides) under Corvus moneduloides (New Caledonian crow). RNAcentral describes it as "lncRNA (ENSCMUG00000019598.1)". Lineage: Eukaryota; Metazoa; Chordata; Aves; Passeriformes; Corvidae. The record is from RNAcentral.